ACAAACGUUAUUUUGUCUUGAGAAUUUUGAUAAUACUUGCUAUUGCAAAUCUGUUUUUCAGGAUUCUUGGAAGAAGACCGGUUUUCUUUUCGGACAUUAAAGUUUUAUUGUCUAAAUUUCCCCGGUCAUCUUGCAUGUCCGACGGUUAGAUAAUAAGCUUUCUUGAAUGAAAGAAUUAUCACGGUGAAUUGCCGAUUCUCGUUGA
This is a long non-coding RNA of Daucus carota subsp. sativus, 205 nucleotides long. RefSeq lists it as uncharacterized. Lineage: Eukaryota; Viridiplantae; Streptophyta; Magnoliopsida; Apiales; Apiaceae. The transcript has 2 exons. The record is from RefSeq and is a predicted model, not a curated record.